GCUACGGGGAGGAGCACAUAUCCGUCAAUCCGUAGAUUUCCGAAUGGGGGAACCCACCUAUAGUAAUGUGUAGGUAUUUUCGUAUGAAUCUAUAGUACGAAUAAAGGCAACCCGGGGAACUGAAACAUCUAAGUACCCGGAGGAAGAGAAAGAAAAAUCGAUUUCCUAAGUAGCGGCGAGCGAAAGGGAAAGAGCCCAAACCAAUGUGCAUGCAUAUUGGGGUUGUAGGACUCUCAACAAAGCGUAUGACAAAGUAUAGUAGAACUAUUUGGAAAGAUAGACCGUAGAAGGUAAAAGUCCUGUAUACGAAAUGCUAAGUUGGCGUGAGAGAGCACCUGAGUACGGCGGAACACGAGGAAUUCCGUCGGAAUCUACCAGGACCAUCUGGUAAGGCUAAAUACUACCUAGUGACCGAUAGUGAACCAGUACCGUGAGGGAAAGGUGAAAAGAACCCCGGGAGGGGAGUGAAAGAGAACCUGAAACCGUGUGCUUACAAGUAGUCAGAGCCCUUUAGGGGGUGAUGGCGUGCCUUUUGUAGAAUGAACCGGCGAGUUACUUUAUCAUGCGAGGUUAAGUGGAAGACAUGGAGCCGAAGCGAAAGCGAGUCUUAAUAGGGCGAAAUAGUAUGAUGGAGUAGACCCGAAACCAAGUGAUCUACCCAUGGCCAGGUUGAAGUUUAGGUAACACUGAAUGGAGGACCGAACCAGGACACGUUGAAAAGUGUUUGGAUGAGCUGUGGGUAGCGGAGAAAUUCCAAUCGAACUCGGAGAUAGCUGGUUCUCUCCGAAAUAGCUUUAGGGCUAGCCUCGUUGUGAGUUUACUGGAGGUAGAGCACUGUUUGGACUAGGGGCCCAUCCCGGGUUACCGAAUUCAGACAAACUCCGAAUGCCAGAUAAAUAUCAACGGGAGUCAGACUGCGGGUGAUAAGGUUCGUAGUCGAAAGGGAAACAGCCCAGACCGCCAGCUAAGGUCCCAAAUUGUAUGUUAAGUGGAAAAGGAUGUGAUGAUGCACAGACAACCAGGAUGUUGGCUUAGAAGCAGCCACCAUUUAAAGAGUGCGUAAUAGCUCACUGGUCGAGUGACAUCGCGCCGAAAAUGUACCGGGGCUAAACAUACAACCGAAGCUGCGGAUAUAACUAAUGUUAUAUGGUAGGAGAGCGUUCUAACAUCAUAGAAGCCGAACUGGAAGGUGAGGUGGAGAGGUUAGAAGUGAGAAUGCCGGUGUGAGUAGCGAAAGAUAGGUGAGAAUCCUAUCCACCGAAAGACUAAGGUUUCCAGAGGAAGGCUCGUCCGCUCUGGGUAAGUCGGGACCUAAGGUGAAGCCGAUAGGUGAAGCCGAUGGACAACAGGUAGAAAUUCCUGUACCACCGAAUAUCGAUUGAGAGAAGUGGGGACAGAGGAGGCUAAUUGAUCGCCCUGAUGGAAU
This 1426-nucleotide ribosomal RNA is filed under the name Actinomyces graevenitzii. RNAcentral describes it as "partial 23S ribosomal RNA". It matches the Rfam family "Bacterial large subunit ribosomal RNA", at positions 75 to 1504 of the family's 2925-position model. The record is from RNAcentral. Lineage: Bacteria; Bacillati; Actinomycetota; Actinomycetes; Actinomycetales; Actinomycetaceae.